UAAGGGCGAGCCCCGCGCGACGCUCUGGGACUCAUCGCUACCACCAGGCCGGGACGCUGGACCCUGGGGUGUGACAGAAAAUUAUUGGCAUACUUUGAGUACCUUUGAGGUGCUGUGGAGGACUUGCUGAUUGAUCAGAAUCAGAAGAGGGGAUCAUUUAGUCCUUCACUUCAUGGGGAUCCUCCGGAGGGAGUAAUACAGCCACCAAGAAAGAUGCUGCUGGCGGACACAGUGACUGACAGGCUGCCCUGG
Long non-coding RNA from Condylura cristata (star-nosed mole), 252 nucleotides. RefSeq lists it as uncharacterized. Lineage: Eukaryota; Metazoa; Chordata; Mammalia; Eulipotyphla; Talpidae. The transcript is spliced from 3 exons. The record is from RefSeq and is a predicted model, not a curated record.